RNAcentral lists this ribosomal RNA (404 nucleotides) under uncultured Alcaligenes sp. RNAcentral's name for it is "bacterial SSU rRNA". It matches the Rfam family "Bacterial small subunit ribosomal RNA", at positions 948 to 1356 of the family's 1533-position model. Lineage: Bacteria; Pseudomonadati; Pseudomonadota; Betaproteobacteria; Burkholderiales; Alcaligenaceae. The record is from RNAcentral.
AAUUCGAUGCAACGCGAAAAACCUUACCUACCCUUGACAUGUCUGGAAGCUCGAAGUGAUUUGAGUGUGCUCGCAAGAGAACCGGAACACAGGUGCUGCAUGGCUGUCGUCAGCUCGUGUCGUGAGAUGUUGGGUUAAGUCCCGCAACGAGCGCAACCCUUGUCACUAGUUGCUACGCAAGGGCACUCUAGUGAGACUGCCGGUGACAAACCGGAGGAAGGUGGGGAUGACGUCAAGUCCUCAUGGCCCUUAUGGGUAGGGCUUCACACGUCAUACAAUGGUCGGGACAGAGGGUUGCCAACCCGCGAGGGGGAGCCAAUCUCAGAAACCCGAUCGUAGUCCGGAUUGCAGGCUGCAACUCGCCUGCAUGAAGUCGGAAUCGCUAGUAAUCGCGGAUCAGCAUG